UCACAUUACUGCCGCCUCCACUCUCCUCUCCUGCCAAAUCCUUUACCCAUUUCCCCUUUUUCUUAUUUCCUUUCCUCAUCUCCUCCAUCUAUCUUCUUUAUCUAAUCUAAAUCAAAUAAAAAACCUUAAAAUUCUCCUCUAUCCCUCAUCAAAUUAUAUAGAAAAACCCACAAACACUACCACCGUAAAUUGUCUCUGCUUCUACGGCCACAACCGUCUACCACGCUUGCUUCCAUCAACGGCCACGAGCGUCUCCACCGUGUGGUAACCAAACCCUAAUUAUAUUUCAAGGACAAUCAGCUUACUAUAUUUUGGCUUUUGAACAGAUCUUUGUUCAUGAUAAUAAGGUCUACUAUACAUGGAUAGGAUAAAGAUGAGCCAAAGUGAAGAACAUUUUUUAUUUUUAUUUGUUUUUACGUUUUAAUUUAAGAUACAUUGAUGAUAAUGUAAAUGAAUAAAUGAAAAACAGUUGAUGUAAUUUUAUCAUAUCUAUAUUUAAAGUUUUAAAUUUCUUUGUUUA
Long non-coding RNA from Mercurialis annua (annual mercury), 520 nucleotides. RefSeq lists it as uncharacterized. The transcript is spliced from 3 exons. The record is from RefSeq and is a predicted model, not a curated record. Lineage: Eukaryota; Viridiplantae; Streptophyta; Magnoliopsida; Malpighiales; Euphorbiaceae.